UCGACACACCUGGCGGCACACCGUGGAGCUGCAGCGGACACAUGCUGAUGCCACAAACCUCCAACCAACACCAGACCUUUCUAACCCAGAGGACCUACUCUUUUCACGACAUUUAUUCACUUUGCACGGGGACACUUUCCCAUCGCUGAGCUGAUACCAUGCGGCAGCGUCUGAGCUGACCGAGCUCUGAGCCUGGCGUGGCCGCAGGGGGGCGCCCAACAGACCGCGUGGUGGUUCACGAACCCGCUGGUGGAAGACGUCGGGAAGUUCGGCUGAAGACCGUGAGUACUCCACGACCUCCCUAGUCAGCUAGUCUGCCUACACACAGACUGAACGCUGUCGCCGUCUCCCAGGGUGAGCGACGCCAGGGACAAGCUGGAGACUGAAAAGACACGUUGGCGUGAACCUGGAUGUGAGACAACGAGAUGUGGCACAGCACGACACGGUUACACCAACACCACGAAUGAGCACAUCACCGGACCGUCCACUGUGCUCGGCCUCCAGCUGCAUCUUCUUCUGCUGACUGUCCUUCUCCCUCCUCAUCCUCUUCUCCAGCAGCGCCGCCCUCUUCUGAGCCAUGUUCUCCUCGGCCUUCCCAUCCUCCUGAGCCGUGGGGGAAACAGAGCUGGUCAACUUCCACUGCUUCAGCUGGGCCUGAAUUAUUCACAACAGCCCCAGUUUUCUGACCUACAUCGAAGCUCAGACUGCGGCGAGCGAACCGUCCAACAACCAACAUAAAUGAGGAAGAUUACACUGUCUCCAAUCGGCAAGUUUUCCGGAACCAAUCUUCAUCUCGUGUCAGGAACAUGUUCGGUUGCUGAUUAAAAACAAACAUGGCUGCCCUGAG
This is a long non-coding RNA of Hippoglossus stenolepis (Pacific halibut), 847 nucleotides long. RefSeq lists it as uncharacterized. The transcript is spliced from 4 exons. The record is from RefSeq and is a predicted model, not a curated record. NCBI's taxonomy places the organism in Eukaryota, Metazoa, Chordata, Actinopteri, Pleuronectiformes, Pleuronectidae.